Molecule: ribosomal RNA, 492 nt
Filed under: uncultured bacterium
Lineage: Bacteria
Description: partial 16S ribosomal RNA
Rfam family: Bacterial small subunit ribosomal RNA
Source: RNAcentral
AGUGAACGCUGGCGGUAGGCCUAACACAUGCAAGUCGAACGGCAGCACAGUAAGAGCUUGCUCUUACGGGUGGCGAGUGGCGGACGGGUGAGAAAUACAUCGGAAUCUACUUUUUCGUGGGGGAUAACGUAGGGAAACUUACGCUAAUACCGCAUACGACCUACGGGUGAAAGCAGGGGAUCUUCGGACCUUGCGCGAUUGAAUGAGCCGAUGUCGGAUUAGCUAGUUGGCGGGGUAAAGGCCCACCAAGGCGACGCUCCGUAGCUGGUCUGAGAGGAUGAUCAGCCACACUGGAACUGAGACACGGUCCAGACUCCUACGGGAGGCAGCAGUGGGGAAUAUUGGACAAUGGGCGCAAGACUGAUCCAGCCACACCGCGUGGGUGAAGAAGGCCUUCGGGUUGUAAAGCCCUUUUGUUGGGAAAGAAAAGCAGCAGGUUAAUACCCCGCUGUUCUGACGGUACCCAAAGAAUAAGCACCGGCUAACUUCGUG